RNAcentral lists this microRNA (20 nucleotides) under Chiloscyllium plagiosum (whitespotted bambooshark). RNAcentral describes it as "microRNA PC-3p-780540_1". Lineage: Eukaryota; Metazoa; Chordata; Chondrichthyes; Orectolobiformes; Hemiscylliidae. The record is from RNAcentral.
GACAGUGUAGAGUGAGCUUU